CCUACGGGUGGCAGCAGUGAGGAAUAUUGGUCAAUGGGCGGGAGCCUGAACCAGCCAAGCCGCGUGAGGGAAGAAGGUACAGCGUAUCGUAAACCUCUUUUGUCAGGGAACAAAGGCGGGGACUAGUCCCCGGAUGAGGGUACCUGAAGAAAAAGCAUCGGCUAACUCCGUGCCAGCAGCCGCGGUAAUACGGAGGAGGCGAGCGUUAUCCGGAUUUAUUGGGUUUAGGGGGUGGGCAGGCGGCCUGUUAAGUCAGCGGGAAAAGCCCGGGGCUCAACCCCGGCGAGCCGUUGAAACUGGGGGGCUGGAGUGGGAGAGAAGUACGCGGAAUGCGCGGUGUAGCGGUGAAAUGCUUAGAUAUGGCGCAGAACCCCGAUUGCGAAGGCAGCGUACCGGCUCCACACUGACGCUGAGGCACGAAAGCGUGGGUAUCGAACAGGAUUAGAUACCCGUGUAGUC
Molecule: ribosomal RNA, 459 nt
Filed under: uncultured bacterium
Lineage: Bacteria
Description: partial 16S ribosomal RNA
Rfam family: Bacterial small subunit ribosomal RNA
Source: RNAcentral